GCCUGUGGGAUAGCUCAGUCGGUAGAGCAUGAGACUCUUAAUCUCAGGGUCAUGGGUUUGAGUCUUAUAUUGGGCA
This is a non-coding RNA of Podarcis lilfordi (Lilford's wall lizard), 76 nucleotides long. The record is from the annotation of a GenBank genome assembly. Lineage: Eukaryota; Metazoa; Chordata; Lepidosauria; Squamata; Lacertidae.